This 314-nucleotide ribosomal RNA is filed under the name uncultured eukaryote. RNAcentral describes it as "partial large subunit ribosomal RNA". It matches the Rfam family "Eukaryotic large subunit ribosomal RNA", at positions 40 to 350 of the family's 3401-position model. The record is from RNAcentral.
AUAUCAAUAAGCGGAGGAAAAGAAACCAACUGGGAUUGCCCUAGUAACGGCGAGUGAAGCGGCAAUAGCUCAAAUUUGAAAUCUGACCCUUUCAGGGCCCGAGUUGUAAUUUGCAGAGGGUGUCUCGGCAUUGGGCCCGUGCUAGGUUCCUUGGAACAGGACGUCACAGAGGGUGAGAACCCCGUCUUCGUUCGGGACUCCUUUGCCGUGUGAGACCCCUUCGACGAGUCGAGUUGUUUGGGAAUGCAGCUCUAAAUUGGAGGUAAAUUUCUUCUAAAGCUAAAUACCAGCCAGAGACCGAUAGCGCACAAGUA